Molecule: long non-coding RNA, 418 nt
Filed under: Populus trichocarpa (black cottonwood)
Lineage: Eukaryota; Viridiplantae; Streptophyta; Magnoliopsida; Malpighiales; Salicaceae
Description: long non-coding RNA (PTRI_LNC002442)
Source: RNAcentral
AUACUAUAUUUAUAAUUGGAACAUCCCUCCAAAGUUAGGAAAAAUUCAGCAUGGCAGAAGUCAAGUAAAAAAAACAGACUUUGAUAAACUAACCUAGACAAAUUAACUAGCACACGUUUUUUGACCUUUAUAAUAUAAACAGACCAAAUUUAAAACAAUCAUAUCUUCUUACACAAAAGUCCAAUGCAAUCAUGGUUGGACAAUCUAGAAAGAACACGUUCUGAACUUGAAAUCCACCUAGAUUAGUCUUGUUUUCACAUGCAAUGGAUGACUUCAAAUUCGGGUUCAAAUUCAUUUGUUGUUCUGACCAUAAACAGCAUCAAUUCCUUCACUUAUUUGCAUAUCAACCCCAAAUUUAAGUAGCCCAGCAUCAAUAGAACCAUUAAGGGCUUUUCCCAUCUUCAAGUUCCAAUUGUAG